Molecule: non-coding RNA, 4243 nt
Organism: Vicugna pacos (alpaca)
Lineage: Eukaryota; Metazoa; Chordata; Mammalia; Artiodactyla; Camelidae
Source: RefSeq, a predicted model, not a curated record
CCGCGCGCCGCCCGCCGGCAACCCCACCCGGCGCUCGCCUGCCCCGCGCCCGCCCUCCGGGCUCCGCGAGCCCGGGGCUGGGGCUGAGGCCCACGGUUCCCGCCGGCACCCCCAGUGCCCUGAGAAGCCGAGCGCGCAAAGGGCGGUCGGGGAGGAGGAGGCCGCGGGCGAGGGGCUUCUCCACGCAGUCUCGGGGGCUGAGGCCGGGGCGCGCCCUCCCCGCACUUUCCCUGUGGGACCCCCACCGCCCUCCGAACCCUUCCCCCGGGGAGACCCCAUCUCCAGCGGCGCCGUAGGCAGGGAACGGAGUCGGGGCGCCCCGGGUCCCGGGAAAGCCCGGCGGGGUGCGGAGGGGCCCCGAUCGUCCAGGGGGCCAGCGGCACGUAUUCUGGCCGAGCCGCCUGACCCACAAACAUGAGCGGUGCGGGCGGUGGGCGCGCAGGGGCCGGGGGCCGCGGGGUCUCGGGCUUGGGACCGGUCUGGGGACGCGCAGUAGCUCCCAGUACGUAAAUCCUGAAGACCGCGGAAAAGCUGGAUCGCAGGGAACGACGCGGGGAGAGGGGCAGGUGCAGGAGCGGAGCACGAGCUGCCUAAAUAAAUGAACAAAGGGCCUUCUCCCGGAACAAAGCCACGACCAGAGAUAUCUGCAAAGAAUGGGUGGGUGUGGCGGGGAGACCUAGAGAUCGGAGUCCCUCUGUCUCAGUGUCUCUGCACAGCCCACGAGCAUUUGUUCACCCAACACGUGCUUUUCCAUCCUUGUGCUCAUUGCCUUCCUUGCCUUUGAAGUCCCACGCCAUCCACCCAAACACCGUCUUUUGUCUUCAGCUGAGAUGGCAUUUAAGGUGAGAGCUGCAGCCGUUUUGGUGAGAUACUUCCUGGGUUUCUCCCAUGUGUACACGUUACUCGACUUCUGUCUGGUGUUCUCCUGUUAAACUGACAUGUGCCAAUUUAAUUCUUAGAGCAGCUGGAUGACCCUAGACAGGGAGAGGGGAAGGUCUUCCUCCCCGACAUCAGUGAGCAGGAGCAGCUGGCACUGCUGAGCUGUGUUCUGUUUGCUGAUGGUUCCCUCUUGCUGAACUGUGAGCCCUUUCCGCUCCCCGCUUCUAUCUUUCCCUUGAUUCCGUGGUAGAACAGACCCACAGCCCCUUAGCUGCAACCAAAAUGCAAAAAGCUUUAAAAACAACCUUUUUCCCCCUGUAACUUUGGUGGUAAGAUUCAAUUUGCUGCAAAAUCUGACCUGACCUGACUGCUGCAGUCUCGUGCUCCCAGGGGUGCAGGCACCUCUGUGGGUUGCUGAUGUGUGUUUUAAAUUUUAAAAUUUAUUUCUCCUUUUGUGACUUCGGGCUCAGUUGCAUUAUUCAUGCAUGAAAAAGAGUUACACACCCCACAGCUUGCUAUGGGAGAGACACAGAAGCACUGACCCUGCCAGUAUCAGGAAGCCAGGGAUGUUGGGAUCCCACAUGAUGUAUGACUUUGGGAAUCAAAGGAAAGGCAGUUGAGGUUUUGCAGUAUUGGUGAUGUCCAAGACCCACUGAGACGUGGAAACCACUGCAGGUGGGAGGUGGGCGGGGAAGGAGAUGCUGACCGGAGUGGACCUGACGUUCGCAGUGAGGACACCAGCGGAUGCCAGGCAGCGACUUGCUGCUCAUGGGACAGCUCUGUUAUUGCAGGAAGAGCUGAUCUUUAAAGGUGAGCACGAAUAUUCAGAAGGUUGGUGGUGGAAAUGUGGGAAGGAUUGUGAUGGAGAACAAUCUAAAUGUGGUGGAAAACCUUCCCUUUGGGAAACAAUGGAAAAGCAUCCCGAUGGAUUUGCCAAGAUGGUACCGGUGCAAAAACCUAGUCUGCACCAGUCUUCAGAGCUGAGGAGGCGGGGGUCCUGUCCCGCAUUUCCGCAGAGGCAUUAGGGUGGUUGAGGAGGGUGCAGAUGGGGGUUGUUUCAGGUCACAAAGCACAGGCUGAGUCGGGGUGAAGCUGCCACAGGUGCGCGUGGUGAAUGCGUCCCUGCGUCCCCUUAUGCAAACGAGCACGCACUGGAUACCCAAGGACUGGUUUCUGCCUGAUUGGAUAGUCCCUUUCAGUCAGCAGCGUGAAUUCACUGCAGGUAAGCUGGGCCCAGGGACAACUAACGUUUCGUUAUUUCUGCCCGGCGGCACCGCACGGCUCCUUCCCGAGUGUCUUCUGAAAGGGCUGUUUCUGACGUUUACUUUGCCCUGACUUGUGAGAGGAGUUUACACCCCGUGAAGAGUGAAAACGAACGCCUUUCUGAGGUGGAGCGGGGGAGGGGGCGGCAUGGGAGGAUGCUUCCUGCUGCUGACUUAGGUCCAGGGCUUCUGGAAUAAACUCGCCCAAGAGACGGCCGUUUCCCCAGUCGCUGGUGCUUGGGCAGUGGGGGCGGGGGGCUCCCUAACACAGGCGUGGGCAGGCGUGCGCAGGACAUGGCGCUCAAAUGGGCUGGAGAGGAGACCCGCCCGCAGGAGGGAGGAAGUUGAUAGCAAACUUCAUUAUAUAUAUAUAUUUUUAAUUCUUAUGUUUUAUGGAAGUGUAGUUGAUUUACAGUGUUAAUUUCAAGUGUACAGCAAAGUGAUUCAGUUUUUUAUAUAUAUAUAUUAGAUUAUUUUCCACUACAGAAAAGAAAUUGAAUAUAGUUCCCUGUGCUAUACAGUAGUAGGUCCUUGUUGUUUAUCUGCUUUACGUGAAGCAGUGUGUACCUGUUAAUCCAAACUGCUAAUCUGUCCCGAUCCCCUUCCUGCCUGGUAACCGCAGUUUGUUUUUCUAUGUCCGUGAGUCUAUUUCUGGGCAGACUUCAUUUACCCCAGAAGUUCAUCAACCGAAAGUGUAAGGUGAAAAGGACGUGGAGGAGAUGCUGGGCAGGGAACGGGGGCUGGUCUCAUUACUUCCUUGAGGGACGGAGGAAUCCCGGUAAUGGACCGAACACAGAGGAGGAGGAGUGGGGAUGACGGGGGAGCCCCCGUGGAAACUGGGGGAGCCCCUGUGGACUACCAGGUCAUAAUGUAUGACCUGCCAGUUGCUGGCUUCAACGCUGACCAGCCAGCAGGCACUCACCCAGCUGAAGAGACAGCUUAGUUCUGAGCUGGUGACCUGGGAGACGUGCCAGGAAGCACCGUCUCUGGGGUGCUGCAUCGUGGCUCGGGACAACCAUCCUCCAGCGCCCACCUCCAGCCUGGUGACCGGAGUCACACGACAAUGCUGGGCCUCCCCCCAGAGCCACUGCAGCCAGGUGUGGAGACGACUCACGGCACUGACACGUCCAGGCAUUAAGCUUCGCUCGAACUGGUGUGUGUUUGAAGCUUUGUAACGUUUUCCUUGGGAAUAAGAAGGACUAGAAAACGUGCCACCUGUGGUGACCUCAGCAUCUCGGGAACUGCUUUAUUACUGCAUAGAUCAGCUGGGAGCAGGCUGCAACACUGUGUGUGGGGUGUUUGCCCCCUGAGUAGGGUGGACUUGGCUGCAGAAGUGCUGGUGUGCUUGAGGUUGGGGUCCCACCCCAGGCCCUGACGGAGGUUAAACAAUAUAUAGUAUGUGCUUUUAUUCACUUGUAUGUUUGUCUUUUUUAGCUCUGAAUGCUUUGAAUUCCAAAGCACAGCUGGCCCUGGAUGACUCAGACCUGGAGCUCAGCCAGAGGAUUCCAGGAAAUGCUUGUGAGCGAUUGAGAAGUGGUCUGGCACCCUCGCAUGGGCCUCAGUCACCUAUGUAGAUGGUCCCUGGCCUGGGGCUGUGGAGGGCAUGCGCGGUGGGUGUCUGUGUGACGGCCGACCAUGCGGACGGGCCUGGGGGCGUGGGCUCGUGAUGGCUCUCAGUCUGCUACUCCCACCAUCAAGGCCUCCCUUCUUCGCUGCUCUGGGCUUUGCGAAUGGUUCUGCUUCGCGGCCGAGUGGUGUUGAGCCCCGUCUGUACAGGCACCACAGGAAACGAACCUCCCAUGUGAAAGGUGCCCCCCCCCCGCCUCUUCAUGCAGAAGGACACCCUGUCGCCAGAGACGGGCACUCCGGGCCGAGAAGCCCAGGUGAACCACCGCCUUCAAAUACACACGACUGCAGAGAAAACAGAUGAACAGCAAGGGCCUCCCGUACAGCACAGGGAACAGUAUUCAGUUUCUUGUAAUGAGCUGCCAUGGAGAAGAAAUUGAACAAAAAAUACAUGUAUCUGUAUAACUGAAUUGCUUUGCUGUGUCCCUGAAACUAAGAUUGUAAAUCAGCCACACUUCAAUAAAAAAUAAGAGUUA